GCGGAUAUCCGGGCGCUGCGGGCCCGGCAUGCCGUUCGCCACCCGGGGUCAGAGGGCGGUGGGCGCCUCGCCCAGGUCGUUGCCGGACUGCGGGGUUGAGGGCGCGGGUUGGGUGCCACCUGGCGGGUGUCCGCGCGUGGGCGGACCCCGCCAGCUGGGCCCUCUCGCGCGUGGGGCGGCAGAGGACAAAGGAGCCAGGCAGCCGCGGCGGAGGGGAGGGAGAGCGAGAGCGAGAGCGCGCGGCCGCGGGACCCAGCCGGUACCUGGGCACCACUCGCUCCGAGUAGCAGCAUCCCUUCCCCAGGGCACUCUGUGUGCUAGGACGUAGCACAGUGCUCAGGAAACGUAAAAGGACUGAAAUCAGACCACGCUCGUUCUCCAACCCCAACGGACGUCGUCAGGAGCGCGCUGUAAAGGCGCGGACAGGAGUUGUGUCUUUGCAAAGUCAGCUUUGCUCAGUCGUAAGGCAGUGGUAGCCAUUGUAAAGCAGGUUCAGGAUUCCAAGCUCAGUGACGUUGCGUUACACGUUGAACUUGGCUUCCUGCAAGUCACCUAAAGUGACAAAAGAGAACAAGGGAUAAGAAGUUUAUGCGCCAACUGCAAAGCCGGUUGAGAUGAAGCCGGGGUCUGGUUCGAAAUGCGUCAGCGGUUCAUGCACGCCGCUCCCUCUUCGAGCGGAGCAAGCAUCCCCUCCGUUCGGAGAGCCACGGGGCCGAGAGCCAUGGAGCCUCCCGGGGCAGCGCUCAAGCCCUCAGACGUCGGUUUUAUUUGGGCGCGGGGAGUGGGGGGAGCGCCAGCGUCUGGAGAAUCUGGAGGUUGGUUGCGGAACUCCUACUUUUCGCAGGAAUUUAAUCAGCUUUAGGUCUUUCCAGACCUCCUCCGGUUCUUGUGAUUCUCGGCGCCUGGUUCUUCCAGGUUCCAUGGCCUUGUGGGUUCUCAGGCCUUAGUUCUGCCAGAGUUUGGGUGAGCUCUGCUCUCGGCUGCUUUCCUGAUUCUAUCACAACUUGGCAUGAGUGAUGCCAUCUUGCACUCUAGAGAACUAAGUUAGAAAUCAGCAACAGAAGGAAACCGGGGAAAGUCACAGUUGUGUGGACAUUAAGCAGCGGUCCUCCGUAACUAACAGGGCAAGGAGAGAAUCAUGAGAAAUAAGAUGCUUGUGAAUGAAAAUAAAAACCUAUACUAAAACUUGUGUGCUGCCUGAUAAUGCAGCGCUUAGAGGGAAAUUUAUGACAAAAACCCCAUAUUAAAGAUAUCUGGAAUCUAGCCUUUGGCCAUAAGAAAUGAGAAAAGCAAACUAAAAAAGCAGAAACAAAAAUAUUGAUUAGGGCAGGAAUAAAUAGAAAACAGAAGAGCAGUGGGGAAAAACUUACAAAACCAAAAGUUGGUUUUUUGAAAAGAUUAACACACGACAAAACUUUAGCUGCAUUGACCAGGUUAAAAAAAAAAAAAAAAAAAAGAGGAAAACUCUAAUUACCGAAAUCAGGAAAGUGAAAAGAGCACUACUGACUUCGCGAAAUUAAAAUGAUAAUAAGGGAAAAAUAUAAAAACUGUGUGCCAACAGACUAGAUAAUUUAAGUGAAAUGGAUAAAGUUCUGGAAAAACCAAAAUACAGAAAUUGAAGAAGAAAUAGAAAAUAUGAGUAGACCUGUAACAUAUGUAGAACUAUUGCCACUUUUUCUGAGUGUUAUAAAAGGCCUCGUGGACUCCAGAACUUUCAAAGAGGGGUUCUAUGUCAGUACUUUCUCAGUCCUUGGUCCCCACCUCUGAUCCUGCUAGUGGUCUCUGGAAGCUUCUUUCAAAGCUCCUGAGUCCUCAGUCGUGGUCAGGUGUUGAAGGAAGCCACACUCCUCAGCAAGAUAGAGCUAUUGUGGUUUUUCCUCUGGUUAUCCGAGAAGCAGAUACACCUCACUAAAAAGUAUCAUUUUUCUAGAAUUAAUACAGUCUAGCCUUGGGGUGAAAGCGUACAUUUUCUACUAACAUGACUUUGAUCCUGGUCCUUAGAAAAUACCAACACGUGUUUCAUGUUGUUGCCAUGAGGGGCUGCCGGCUCUACCCAACCCUACUGUGCAGGACAAGAGCCCCACACGGUGUGGACUCCAUCGUACGUACCUUGCAGUGGUGGCAUUUGUAUAUUUUUCCGAUUGCUGAUGAAAGGAAGCGACCCUGCCUCCUCACCGUCCUCGGGCCACUCCAGCUGUCACGGAAAUGUGCUCUUUUGGGGUCUGGCAAUUGCAAGUUCUCCAGCCCCCGCCCUCCCCAGAUGUACCCAGUCCCAGAAGCCUCAGGAGGUCAACCUGCAGUGUUCCAGGUGCUAUCCCAAGGAGAUCCCCGGGACUCAUUUCGUGGGGCCCCCAGCCUCCUGCGUGGGUCUGACGGGCCUGGUGCUCUCCGUGGGGCUUCUACAAAAACACAUCACACGGUGCCCAGGAUUGUUUUCACUGGCGUGCCGGACGCUGUGUAUCCAAAAAGCACAGAGCUAGAACAGCCUUUCUCCCGCAGGCACACGGGGCGAGAGGCUGGUCGCCCGAUCGCAGUCAGCCUGAUCUGGGGCAGGUGGAGGCCGAGGUCCGGCUCAGUCCGCUUCCGGGUUCAGAGUAUCUCCGAGGUUGUUGAUACUGUGUGAAAAUCGGAUUGAUUGUUUUGCAGAAUGAUCUCGUAUCCUGCGGUCUUGUGAAGAUAAUCUCAUUUAUUAGUUCUGGUUGUUGUUUUUUGUUUGUUUGUUUUGGUUUUUUGUGGAAGUCUUAGAAUUUUCUCUACAUAGACUCAGGUCAUCUGUAAAUAGUUUUGUUUCUUCGUUUCAACAUUUAUGGUUUAAUUUCUCCUGCUUUCUCUCAUCCCCUCCCUUUCCUCCUUUCUCUGAAGGGAUGUGGCCAUUGCUCUGACUGAAGCCCCCACACAAUGCUGAGUAGAGAUACUCACCCAGUCUGCACUCCCGGGAUCAAUUCCGACUGGUCAUGGCUUACAAUCCUUUUUAUAUGCUUCUGGAUUCGGUUUGCUGAUAUUUUGUGAAGGGUUAUGUGUCAGUGUUCAUCAGAGAUGCUAUGUGAAGCUUUCCUGUGAUGUUCUGUCUGGCUUCGGCCUCGGGGUGAUUCACAUGGGCCAUUUCCGAGGCCCCGGUUUCCCCACAGGAACUUCGAUGCUCAGCAAAGACACAAGACGGUGGGUUUCGUUUGGCUCAUUCGUGUCUUCGUAGCCGCUUGUCCAUUCGUCUUCAUCGGCACAAGGCUGUCCGUGACGUUCCCAUACCGCCCUUUCCGUGUCUGUGGUUGGGAGAGACCCCUCCUCUCCGAUCGCCGGCUUUGCAGUCGGACCUCCUCUCUUUUCUCUUGGUCGCAGCUCAGGGUCUCUGGGCCUUAGCACUGCUGACGUCGUGGGGGCGGCCCCACACGUUACAGCCUCGCUGACACACGAGUGGACCCGCAGGGGUGAGGUGUGUUUAGGACCAACCCCUGUGGAGGGCGGGGGGGGGGGGGGGGGACGUGGGACCUGUCCCGGGCUGUCAGGGCUGUCCCCAAAUGCUGCUGGCGUUUUCCUACCUGCCCCGCUUAGACUGCAGGUGUGGGUCCCUGGGGUGGGUCCCUGUGGGUGUGGGUCCCUGUGGGUGUGGGUCCCCUGUGGCUGAGGCACUGGGGCCGGAGGGGCUCACGCGGCUCGGCCUGGAGCAGGGCGGCUAAGCCCUCCUGGGGGCAGAUGGGGGGCCGGUGCUUCUGUCUCCCCAACGAGGGCCCUUUCUCUCUGAAGCUUACACACGAGGAAAACUAGCAGGGCCGUGAAGACACAAGCUGUGACAGUGGCAGAUUCUCUCCAGAUCUCAGGGCCGUAUUUCCAAUGUGUUUUUGUGGGAUCACGCGCCCCCCCCCUUGCUGGACACAGAGAGACUGGUGGUGUCCUCCCUCCCCGAAAAUGUGCUGUGCGCACGCGGCUCUGUUUUCCCCUGUCCCCACACCUGUAGCUGUGUGAGGCCGGGGCUGCAUCUCAGCUGGAAAAUUAACACUUGAAUCCUAAAUAAUAAUAAUUAUUGUUGCUGGUUA
Molecule: long non-coding RNA, 4031 nt
Organism: Leopardus geoffroyi (Geoffroy's cat)
Lineage: Eukaryota; Metazoa; Chordata; Mammalia; Carnivora; Felidae
Exons: 3
Source: RefSeq, a predicted model, not a curated record